AUACGAAGGGGGCUAGCGUUGUUCGGAAUUACUGGGCGUAAAGCGCGCGUAGGCGGAUUGGUCAGUUAGGGGUGAAAUCCCAGGGCUUAACCCUGGAACUGCCUCUAAUACUGCCAGUCUUGAGUUCGGGAGAGGUGAGUGGAAUUCCUAGUGUAGAGGUGAAAUUCGUAGAUAUUAGGAAGAACACCAGUGGCGAAGGCGGCUCACUGGCCCGAUACUGACGCUGAGGUGCGAAAGCGUGGGUAGCAAACGGGAUUAGAAACCCUAGUAGUCC
Molecule: ribosomal RNA, 274 nt
Filed under: uncultured bacterium
Lineage: Bacteria
Description: partial 16S ribosomal RNA
Rfam family: Bacterial small subunit ribosomal RNA
Source: RNAcentral